Molecule: ribosomal RNA, 253 nt
Filed under: uncultured bacterium
Lineage: Bacteria
Description: partial 16S ribosomal RNA
Rfam family: Bacterial small subunit ribosomal RNA
Source: RNAcentral
UACGUAGGGUGCAAGCGUUACUCGGAAUUACUGGGCGUAAAGCGCGUGUAGGCGGGUGAUCAAGUCAGGUGUGAAAUCCCCAGGCUCAACCUGGGAACUGCACUUGAAACUGGUCGGCUUGAGUGUUGGAGAGGGAAGCGGAAUUCCUGGUGUAGCGGUGAAAUGCGCAGAUAUCAGGAGGAACACCGAUUGCGAAGGCAGCUCGCUGGGACGUUACUGACGCUGAGACGCGAAAGCGUGGGGAGCAAACAGG